RNAcentral lists this long non-coding RNA (1040 nucleotides) under Capra hircus (goat). RNAcentral's name for it is "lncRNA (ENSCHIG00000005170.1)". Lineage: Eukaryota; Metazoa; Chordata; Mammalia; Artiodactyla; Bovidae. The record is from RNAcentral.
UUUUAAAAAAGAGAGUUGAAGCAGCUGGUCUCUAAAACCCACUUAGGUUCUAACGUGAUGACUCUGGACACAUCUAACUUACACGCUUUCUCUUGUAAUUCAGGCUAAGACUGCACAAGCUGUUUUUUGGCAGAUACAUCACAUUGCUGACCUAAUAUUAUGAGGAAAGAAGAGGCAAGCCACUACUUUCAAAGACUGUAAAUGUAGAGAUCAUCCAGGUCUAAUCAUGACUAGCAAGAGACUACAGGAGGAGUGAGGGGGGAAGAAAGCCAGAGUAUAAAGAUGGGAAAACCAAGGCUCAGAGAGGUAAAACAACUUGCCACAGAAUGCACAACCAGGAAGUGGAGGAGACAGGAUUCAAACUCCCCACGUGGCGCACACCAAAGCCCAUUCUCUGAUGGUCACGAUUUUAGAACUCAAGUGAAAAUCGAGAUGUUCUACCAAGAAAACCACCUCGAGCUUAUAAACUGCCUUUCUGUGUCUGCAGAGGAGGAGCCUGGGAGAAGAAAAAGGCAUCUCUUCCCCAGGACUGUGCAGCCUCAGGCUAGGGCCACUGCAAGGCAAGUAGGUCUCAGGCUGAAUUUAGCUCCAACUGGCUUCCUCAAUCAGGCACCUUUACCCAGUGCACCAACUGUGCAACAGUCCACAGCAUCCCUGAUUAGCUAUCAGAGUAAUUGCGAACUACGUAUCUUUUCCCUUCCUCUGUCGACUCAGAGAUGAGAGCAGUAUUGCUUUAGAUAGUCAUGAAGUAGAAGGAAAGUCAAAAAGUGAAAGAGGAUCCCAGAGCUGGAACCUCUGAAUAAUGGAGUUGACUCUUAAACUCUCAGCAUCAGCUGCUCCAUCUUACUUCUCUCAUUCUAAACCCACAGCCUCCGUUGAAAACCAAGAGUUUAUUUACAUAGGAUGGGUUCAACCACAAACUAUCUGAAUUAAUGUUGAAGGACCUGACUUGACUCUGCUCCAUGAGACCAGGGCCAGUAUUUAUUUUUUCUCACUAUUGUUUCCCCACCUUUUAACAUGGUGCUUGGUAAAUAAAAAAG